This 253-nucleotide ribosomal RNA is filed under the name uncultured bacterium. RNAcentral's name for it is "partial 16S ribosomal RNA". It matches the Rfam family "Bacterial small subunit ribosomal RNA", at positions 524 to 776 of the family's 1533-position model. The record is from RNAcentral.
UACGUAGGGGGCAAGCGUUGUCCGGAUUCAUUGGGCGUAAAGAGCGUGUAGGCGGCCAGGUAGGUCGGUUGUGAAAACUGGAGGCUCAACCUUCAGAGGUCGACCGAAACCAUCUGGCUAGAGUCCGGGAGAGGAGAGUGGAAUUCCUGGUGUAGCGGUGAAAUGCGCAGAUAUCAGGAGGAACACCAACGGCGAAGGCAGCUCGCUGGGACGGUACUGACACUGAGGCGCGAAAGCGUGGGGAGCGAACAGG